This 914-nucleotide ribosomal RNA is filed under the name uncultured marine archaeon. RNAcentral describes it as "bacterial SSU rRNA". It matches the Rfam family "Archaeal small subunit ribosomal RNA", at positions 1 to 922 of the family's 1478-position model. The record is from RNAcentral.
UUCCGGUUGAUCCUGCCGGACCUGACUGCUAUCGGAUUGAUACUAAGCCAUGCGAGUCUUUGUAGUAAUACAAGGCAGACGGCUCAGUAACGCGUAGUCAACCUACCCUAUGGACGGGAAUAAUCUCGGGAAACUGAGCAUAAUACCCGGCGUACCACCAUUCCUGGAAUGGUUGGUGGUUAAAAUGAUUCGUCGCCGUAGGAUGGGACUGCGACCUAUCAGCUUGUUGGUGAGGUAAAGGCCCACCAAGGCGAUUACAGGUACGGGCUCUGAGAGGAGAAGCCCGGAGAUGGGUACUGAGACACGGACCCAGGCCCUAUGGGGCGCAGCAGGCGAGAAAACUUUGCAAUGUGCGAAAGCACGACAAGGUUAAUCCGAGUGAUUUCUGCUAAAGGAAUCUUUUGCCAGUUCUAAAAAUACUAGUGAAUAAGGGGUGGGCAAGUUCUGGUGUCAGCCGCCGCGGUAAAACCAGCACCUCAAGUGGUCAGGAGGAUUAUUGGGCCUAAAGCAUCCGUAGCCUGCUCUGUAAGUUUUCGGUUAAAUCUAUAUGCUCAACAUAUAGGCUGCCGAAAAUACUGCAGUGCUAGGAAGUGGGAGAGGUAGACGGUACUUGGUAGGAAGGGGUAAAAUCCUUUGAUCUAUCGAUGACCACCUGUGGCGAAGGCGGUCUACCAGAACACGUUCGACGGUGAGGGAUGAAAGCUGGGGGAGCAAACCGGAUUAGAUACCCGGGUAGUCCCAGCUGUAAACGAUGCAGACUCGAUGAUGCAUUGGCAUAUAGCCAGUGCAGUGUCGCAGGGAAGCCGUUAAGUCUGCCGCCUGGGAAGUACGUACGCAAGUAUGAAACUUAAAGGAAUUGGCGGGGGAGCACCACAAGGGGUGAAGCCUGCGGUUCAAUUGGAUUCAACGCCGGG